AUUGAACGCUGGCGGCAUGCCUUACACAUGCAAGUCGAACGGUAACGGGCCUUCGGGUGCCGACGAGUGGCGAACGGGUGAGUAAUACAUCGGAACGUGCCCGAUCGUGGGGGAUAACGAGGCGAAAGCUUUGCUAAUACCGCAUACGAUCUACGGAUGAAAGCAGGGGACCGCAAGGCCUUGCGCGGACGGAGCGGCCGAUGGCAGAUUAGGUAGUUGGUGGGAUAAAAGCUUACCAAGCCGACGAUCUGUAGCUGGUCUGAGAGGAUGAUCAGCCACACGGGGACUGGGACACGGCCCAGACUCCUACGGGAGGCAGCAGUGGGGAAUUUUGGACAAUGGGCGCAAGCCUGAUCCAGCCAUGCCGCGUGCAGGAUGAAGGCCUUCGGGUUGUAAACUGCUUUUGUACGGAACGAAAAGCCUUCUUUUAAUACAGGAGGGUCAUGACGGUACCGUAAGAAUAAGCACCGGCUAACUACGUG
RNAcentral lists this ribosomal RNA (482 nucleotides) under uncultured bacterium. Its description in RNAcentral is "partial 16S ribosomal RNA". It matches the Rfam family "Bacterial small subunit ribosomal RNA", at positions 30 to 507 of the family's 1533-position model. The record is from RNAcentral.